AGGCAGGGGGACCAGGGUAGGAGAGCUGCCUCACCAAGAUGUGGGAGUCCAGCAGGGGGUUCGUUAUCUGGAACAGGGCGGCAGGCUCAGCCUCAGGGAAUGGGUUCCUCAGCCAAGGGGGGCCUAGAUACAGCAGGGACAUGAUUUGCAGGCAGGAAUCAGAUCGGCCUUCAGAAGGGGCAACUGAGGACAAAGGGUGAGAGCCAGGUUAGCGACACCCUGGCCUUGGAAUGUGUGGGGGGAGCUGGGCAGGGAGUGUCAGUGGGUCAAGGACCCCAGCUGUUCCUUUCUCUGUACCCAGUGGGGUCACCCUCACCCCACUACCACCUGUCAGAUGGCCACCCCCUCAGGUCCUCCCCAGAUGUGUCCCAUGGCAGGUUCUUAUCCAUGGGUCCUGCUGGGAGCAGUGAGCUGGGGGGGGAGGGGUGUCAGGAAUUCUGAGCAGCCAAAGGAAAUAGCCUGGUGGACAGGGAAGGGGAGGGGGCUGCUGGUGAGUAUCCCCAUAUGACCCCGGAAGCAGAGGAGAGGGGCCCAGGGCCCAGGAGCCAAGCCUGGGUUUUCUAGGUAUGGGGGUACAGCUGGAGGGGCUGAAGAGGAUGGGCAGGAGGUGGGGCAAAGCCUGGGCUGGUGGCCACAGGAGCUCCCUCAGAAAACAGUUUCCCAAGGUGGGUGCGGAGACAGGGUGGGAAAGGCUCACCUGUCUGAAUUCAAAUAACGGACUCAGACACAAAAAUCUAGCUAAAAUGAGACUUUUAAAACUCUCCAGAGCGGGUGUCCGUUGGUGCAGGCUCACCUGAAUUCGCUGGCACAGGCAAUAUUUCUCCUCUUGUGUGAAAGUCCCUCCACCAGUUCUUAGGCUGAGUGUAUGGAGUUUACAUUCUACCCCUUAAGUCACCUAGGUCUUAUUGUCUCCUGUUGUUUUUGUUUUUGUUGUUGUUUUUUAUUGGCUGAGGCCUUUUGUAGUUGUCUCCACCUCCCUUUGUCUAGGGAAUCUUCCUGGAAAAUGUGCUACCAGCCAGGUGCACAGCUCUCAUAAUCGCUCCCCACCUCCCCUCCUACACCCUGCUUGUUCCUGGGAUAUUCAGUAACUGACUGGCUACAGGCUGUUUCUUUUCUAUGAAGAUGAAUCAUAGAGACAUUUCUCCUACAACAGGAAGCCCCAGCCAGACUGGGGAGCUCAGAGGCAAUGGGGGAGGAUGGGGGGGAAGGCGUAGGUGAGCUCUCCCCCAGGCCUGCAGAGGACACUCCUGAGCCCAAGGCAAAGCCAGGCCCAUGGGACUCCACAGACAACCCCCCACCCCUCCACCCCCAGAGAAUGGGCCUGGUCCAGGGCCACUGACCCUCAGGUCUCUUGUUGUCCAGGUGACCCCCUCAGGGCAGGAUCUCUGUGAGGUUGGGACCUGGCUUCCCCCUUGGAGGAGCAGAUCCAGAGGCCCUAGGGGGAUUGGAGUGUGUGGGAAGGUGACUUGGGCGUUCUCCCCACAGGUGUGAGCUCUGAUUCCAGGAGAAGAUGCCGGUAACAGGAAGUACCGCACUCAAGCUGCUUUUGGGAGGGAGCGGUCUGAAAUUGCUGUUAUCAGUAACAGGGCCUGGUGCGCUUGUGCUAGCCGUGGGCGCCGUGGCAGUAGGACUCACAGGAAUCAGCUUCUUCUGGUGGAAUUAGGUCAGAGCAAGCCUGGGAUUAGCAUCUGGGGAUGUCUGGGGCAGGCUGGGGGUGGGGGUGGGGGCUCUAUAUGAGUAAGAGGGAGGGCUGGGGAUGGUUUGAAGGAGGCACAGUUCAGAUCUGAGAAGGUAGUGGGGCUCUCCAUUGGCCUGGAGGUCUGGCAGCCCCUCCAAACUGACUGCCCGUACCCUCCUCCCAUUGCCAGCUCCGGGCCCUGUCUGACACGCCCACCUUCUUUUGCAGGCCAUGGAAUACAAGAUGCAGGAAAAGCAGUCCUCGGGUUACCUUCGUCAUGUCCUGGUUACGACAGGAAUUGUUACCUUUCUUUUCAUUUUUUUGUACUGUUUCACUUCAUUUCUGACUUAUGGCAAAAAUGGCCUCAUGUCAAGCUAUAGAAACUGAUCUCCCAGGUUACCCGAGGACCUACUCUAUUAUUGACAGGAAUCCUUUCCAAUCUCCUGGCCAGAAGGAGAAGGCUCCGCCUUCCUGGGGAAUGUGUGAAGCAACAUGCUAUACACAGCUUAUAUUUUGAUUAUGAACAAAGUCAACUUUUGAGCAAAAUAAAAAUUAAUUAAAUA
Long non-coding RNA from Myotis daubentonii (Daubenton's bat), 2241 nucleotides. RefSeq lists it as uncharacterized. NCBI's taxonomy places the organism in Eukaryota, Metazoa, Chordata, Mammalia, Chiroptera, Vespertilionidae. The transcript has 2 exons. The record is from RefSeq and is a predicted model, not a curated record.